RNAcentral lists this small RNA (121 nucleotides) under Flavobacteriales bacterium. Its description in RNAcentral is "6S RNA". It matches the Rfam family "6S-Flavo RNA". The record is from RNAcentral. Lineage: Bacteria; Pseudomonadati; Bacteroidota; Flavobacteriia; Flavobacteriales.
ACUCAACGCGAAUUCUUUAAAAAGGGUGAGUUAAAGCUGUAAAAGCAAGCCGUUUCUACCUUUGGUAGAUGGACGGAUCCUUGAUCAUCUUAUUAGCCCUAAACUUAAUUUUAAGGAGUUU